AUGGCCCGAGGGGAGACCAACGGGGAGGCGGGACGGGGAGGCGGGACGAGGAGCUCAGUUGCAGGGAGCCGCGCUGCCCUCGGCCUCGCGCUUGCCUUUGCCCCCGGGGGGCUCCGCUCCGCCGGCCUUGCCCUCUCCCGCCGCCGCCCCGGCAGCCUCCUCUUUGGCGCCCUCGUGGGUUUUCAUGUGUUUGGCCAGGUGGCCGCUGCGCAUGAAGACUCGGCUGCAGACUGCGCAGGGGAACUUCUUGGUGCCGGUGUGGGUCUGGAGGCGGCGCUGCAGCUCGUCGGAGCGCGUGAAGCGCUUGCCGCAGAAGAGCCAGUUGCACACGAAGGGGCGGUCGCCGCUGUGCCAGCGCAGGUGUGCCUUCAGGAGAAGACCAGGGAGGGACAGUCAGCCCAGCUAUCAACCCCGAGGGAGCGCCACCCUCCUUCUGCAUCAACAACCUCCGGGCAGGAUCAGACCCUUCAACAAUCAGCUCAGCUCUGCCCCCAAACAAAGGGAGAGGAAGACUUCCUUGCUCAACCUCCACAUCUGGCUCCCUCCUCCACCCCACAGUUCUGGCUGGAAGCUGUCGCCCAUUCUGGCCCUCUUCCCUUCUUCCCUCGUGGCUCCAUCACACUGGGUCUGGAAGGCUUAAUAAGGAGGCACAUCAGAGACAUUAUUUCUGCGGUGACAACCCUCCCAGGCCAGAUAGAAACUCCUCCCUUAGGGGGACCCCCAGCCUCUGCUACCCCAUCUCAGCGCUCCCUCCGGAAACCCCGGGGUAAAGCACUCUAA
RNAcentral lists this long non-coding RNA (780 nucleotides) under Balaenoptera musculus (blue whale). Its description in RNAcentral is "lncRNA (ENSBMSG00010018634.1)". The record is from RNAcentral. Lineage: Eukaryota; Metazoa; Chordata; Mammalia; Artiodactyla; Balaenopteridae.